UAUGCUAAUCUACUUUCUUGGCUAAAACUAAGGAUUUAACGAAAGUGAUUUCUAUAAUGGGUGGAUAAAAUAGGGCUUAUUCUUGCUUUUUUUUUUCUGUAGAUGAUACAACAAUGUUACUUCAGCUCUUUUAUGUUGUAUUUUCAUAAUAGAAGUUAAGAAACAAAUAUAUUUGCUUAGAGAUUCAUAAGGAAUUCAAUUUUUGCCUUAAAAUAACACUACAGGCAGAAGUGGGCUAGUCUGCAGUGCCCCUUUUCUAGUGACAUAUGGGAAUUACAGGCCCCAGGACAUUCUUCUCAAGCCUCAGUGAAACACUUCUCCCCGCAUCUAGUUGCAAAAAUAGAGUAAAAUAUUAAAUAACUGGAAUGAUGGUACCUGUUCGUUUCUGCUUCAAUUCAGUAACACUAUUGAAUCUCUUUCUUAUCCUCUGAAUUCUGCUCCAGCUUGAUUGACAUUCUUUUUAUUCCUGCAUCACGCUGUGCUCUGCUCUGCCUCAGAAUUUUAGCACAAGCUGUUCCCCCUGCCUGGAAUUUCUUUACCUAUUCAUUGAAUAGUUGAGUCCCUUCUCUCUCUUCAGGUCUUUCAUUAAAUGUUAGUUUCCUUAUUAAUGUGGAACACUCUGAAUUACUAGUUGUUGUCACAUUGUCAUUAGCUCUAUCAUCAAAUCUUUUUUUCUUGAUGACUCUUUACACUUGAUAUUUAUUUAUGUGUGUGUUAUUGUUGGUUAUUCUCCAUAUCUUCUUUCUAACCAGCCAGGGACCAGUACCCUAUUUGAUAUCUAGUUGUGAUUGAUAAAUAUUCAUACGUUUAAGGACUUGGAUUGCAUGAGACCUUUUUGUUUUGGGGUUGGGGAGAAGGCAGCAGUAUAGUUUUGAAGGAAGAAUCAAAUCAUUAAAAAUAAUAAUAAUAAAAGAUGUAGCCCCAAAUGCUGCAUACUGGCCGUGCCCAAGAAGUGUGAGGUUGAGCUCACAUUCCAAACCAUGUACACAUUAUAUUUAAUGUAAUAAAAAUUGACCCCUAUGAUAAUAAACAAGACAUACAAACAUAAUAUAUUUAGAAAAAGAGAUGAAUUAUAAUAGUAUACCAUUGCAGCCUCACCUCCUAUGCUUCAUGCUACUCUAUCACAUUACAGUAAUAUUUAUUUUCCCUAUCAUGAAGUAUUUGAUGCAUAGUAGAUGCUCAGCAUGUAUUUCCUGACUGUAUGUAUUUAAUAAGUAAAUUCUAGAAUUUUAAGCUGGGACACAAGCAAGUUUCAGAAAAAAUUUCUAACCGUAAGGAUUGAAGCAAAAAAUUAUUUCUGAUUACCUUAAUCAGUUGGAAAAUGCAUUUCACUAUUUUAGUCUCAAAAUAUAUUGAAAUAAAAGUACUAGUGCGAUCUUCAGUUUUGUCUUAGUUUUGAUAGGUGCAAAUAAAGUACAUUUAAAGCACAAAAUGUGAUGCAAUGUCAUCAGAAGAAAAUUUUCUCUGUGGUUCAAUAUCAGGAGUAUUGAGAGUUAACUAUUGAGUCCAAUUGAAUUCAGUUUAAAACCCAGUUCUGGCAAUGACAGUUGGGUCCCUAGGCAACUCUUAGAGAUUCUAAGCCAGAAAUUAUUCACUUUCAAAAGGUUUAAUACCACACUGGUUAUUCUGAUUAUCUAGAAAUGGCUUCAAAAUUUCUUCCUGGAUGGCUCCCUAGAAUCUUAAGGCUAGUGAUGCUGGGAGUAUUGUCAAGAUUUACACACCACAGAAGUAUGGCAGUUUAAUGAAAGAAUCAAUGGAUAGCACUUUUGUGGCAAAUAGUUGCUAACUUUAAAACUAAUAUUUUAUUAAAAUGGUACUGAAAUAACAUCAUAGCAAGAACUAAUUCAUGUUAAAAAUUUUAAUUUCCAAGUGAAUCAAUAAAUAACUGCAUAUUGUGAUCAUUUCCUAAAGAUUUGGUACCACACUUAUGCUAUUCCCAGGAAACAAAAGAUAGAUGCCAUUUGUGUGCAUAAUAAUAAUAACUCACAUGAAAGGAUUUUGAAGAUUGCAGUAAAGAGUAUGUUUUCUUUUUCUUUUUCUUUUCCUUUUUCUUUUUCUUUGUGUGUGUGUGUGUGUCUUUUUAGGGCUGAACUCUCAGUCUAUGGAAGUUCCCAGGAUAGGGGUUGAAUCGGUGCUGUAGCUCCUGGCUUAUGCCACAGCCACGUCUGUGACUCACACCACAGCUCAUGGCAACCAAGGCCGGAUCCUUAACCCACUGAGCAAGGCCGUGGAUCGAACCUGGGUCCUCAAGGAUACUAGUUGGGUUCCCUUCCACUGAGCCAUGAUGGGAACUCUCAGUAAAGGAUUUCUAUUCCCCAAACUAUUGUUGUCACUGACUGCCAUGACUCUAAUCCCCUAAUUUUACCAUGAGAAACCAAUGCAGUUUUGUUCUUAAAUGCAAAUUAAGGAGUCAUAGGCGGAACCAUAUGAAGAAACUACUAUUCUAUGUCAGAAACAAAUACAGACUAUUCAAUGUGGCUCAGCUUUCAUAUUUAAUCCAUAAUCAGGUAUUAACCUUUGAUGUGAAAGCAUUUAUUAGAUUAUCUACCUGGCAGGAAAUGAAAGAGCAGUUUGCCAGGAUGGGGGGAUGAAGAGACGGAAAAAGGAGUUUUUAAAAGUUCCAGACUCAGGUAAUGGGACUCUUUUAUAAUGGCAACAUGAUGUAAUCACUAAACAAACAGAAACAAAAUGGAAUUACUUGGUUUGGGAUGAGUUACAAAGAGGAACAAUAGCAAGUUAAGACAUUUUAAAGAAGAAAAUCAAGAAAACAUAUUCAUAGGUUCAUCAUGUUUGUAGUGUUUAGAUCUUAGCCAAAGAUAUUACUCACCACAAUCUGAUGAAUUUAUUUUCAAAGACUCUGUCAGAUAAAAAGUGCUAAGGAAAACAUUAUGAUUUCUUUAGCACUAUUGUAUAUGCACAAAGCUGGUACUUCACAUACCCACAUACACACAUGCACAAAUAACUUCACAAACCUGAUUCAGAAAGAACUAGUACAUUUUGCCUGUUGAAGCUUACUAAAACCAGCAAGAUGUAGUUGAUAUUAAUGAUUCAUAUUUUCUUUCACAAAAAGAAAAAUAAAGUUAAGUACAUUGAAGGUUGGAUGUCUUUUUCCUCCACUUAAUUCCUCAGGGCUGCCCCAUUUUUUUUUUUCUAUUAUUAAAAAAAAAAUGCAGUUCUUCCUCAAUAUACAUUUAAAACAUGGGUGAAAGUACUACUGGAUUAAUCCUAAUAACAAAAUUUGAGUUAAACUAAGCUCUAAAUAGCCUUCCUCAGUUUAGUAAAACAAGUUUUGAUCUUAUUUCAAUUCAGUACAUGAUAUCUUUUGGAAAAAAAAAAUUUUUUUAAUGCUUGCAAUGUUUUAUUUUGCCUGCCAGAAUUACCGGUAUGACUCGCCUUCAUUCUAUCCAGCCACAAAUCCUUCUGUCCUAGUAAUGCUAAAUUUGAAGGCUAGAGGGUACAUACAUCUGCCCUGGGCAAAUGCAGUCAGUAUUUCUUCCACAAAUACAGAUUCCCAUGACAACCAAACAGAAAGGGGGAAAAAAUGAGAAGCCAAGGAUAUUAAAUUUCUCUUAGACCCACCACCUGAUUCCCAUUUGACCCACUCUCUGGGUCUUAUUAAGCCCAUCCUGAUCCCUUUUAUUCCCAUAGCCAUUUACAAGCUGGGCAUAUGGAAUCCUAAGGUUUCUUACUUUUCCAUGUUACUGAACAGCAAUCUUAGCAAGGUAAGAGAAUAUUUGUGAAGCCAUUUUAUUUCCAUCUUUUUUAGGUUGUUGUGUUCUUCUGCAAAGGCUAUCAGCUCCCACUGUAUGAGGACACCUGUCCACCAGAACAAGCCUGAGAUUACUAAUUCAUUUCACAUGAUUCACCAAACUGAUAUCAAAUAGCAGUAGCUCUUAUUUAUUACCAGCUUAGAUCAGAUUCAAACUGGAGGCUCAAAGCUAAAAGGCUUAACCUUCAACCCCUUCACCCUGGGUCACUCCCAAUCUGUCUCUGGGGCACUUUUAAUUAAUGGCAGAGUGGAAAGGAUUAUAAAUUCCAGAGCUCCCAUAUACCAUCCCCAAUGGAUGUCCAACUCACUGACAGCUAAGAAGGCUUUCCAUUAACAUGUAUUUGUUCAUGUGAUUGUAUCUGCACAAGCCAAAUUAAGUGGAGACAUGAGGAGGCAAUUAUCUUGAAAAUUCAGGCUAAAAUAGAAAUACUUCAACUGAGGUUUGGGAAUUUACCUUUUUGAGAUUAGAGAAAUGUGCCAGAUGAUGUCUUUGCAUUAAAUUUAACUUUGAAUGUGCUGGUGCCAAUUGGCAAAGAAAAGUGGGAAGUACAGGUGAUUGUCCAGAACGUUAAAAGCCAAACAUCCAAUAGUGAGAGAAGAAAAUAGAAGAAAGCCGUAAGCCACCAGAUUUAUCUAAUUCAGCAAUUAGCCAAAAAUCUAAUGCUGCCUUAUGGUGUAAAUACAGUUAGGACUAUUACAGAGGGGGAAAACAGAAUCCCCAGACAUUAACUUUGCAAGUAUUCUAUAUAUUUGUUCUCUAGUAGAAUACUCCAAGGCUAAAGAAAGUUCUAGUGCAACCUAAUGCCUUUUCUGAAUCAUGUACUUCUUUUGGCCAUAUCCAUGAGACUUAAAGCUUUGUUUUAAAUUGAUGACAUGUGGUAUUUAGAAUCGUAUAGAUAUAUAGAACACAGUGAAAAUCCUUUCCUGAAACUACUUCUGAAAAUAGUUACCUGAGUUAGGUAACUACUACCUGAAAAUAGUUACCUGAGUUAUUAAUACAAGCAUCAACCAUAUAGCUAAUUCUGCCUCAUGCUAGAUUCGUUCACAUAUUUCAUCCUCACAGCAAUCAUAUGAGGGCAGUUUUAUUAUAUCUGUUGUAUAGAUAAAAACUGAGGCUUGUUUAUAAGAAUAUUAAUUCUUUACUACAUAUCUAUCUAUCUACCUACCUAUCAUCUAUUAUCUAACUAUCUAUGUAUCUAUGGCUUAACCACCUAUAAUAGGUUGAAUUUUGCCUCCUCCCAAAAAAAGAUAUUCUGAAAUACUAAUCCUCAGCACAUGUGAAUGCCACUUUAUUUGAAAAUAUGGUCUUUGCAGGUUUAAUCAAGUUUGGAUGCUGUCUUUGGAAUGGGCCUUAAUCCAAUGUAAUUGAUGUCCUUAUAAGAAGAGGAAAAUUUGGGGCAUUCCCAUUGUGGCUCAGUAGUAAAGAACCCAACUAGUAUCUGUGAGGAUGCUGGUUCAACCCCUGGCCUCCCUCAGUGGGUUAAGGACCAGAGUUGCCAUGAGCUGUGGUGUAGGUCACAGACACGGCAGAAUUGCAUUUUGCUGUGGCUGUGGCAUAGGCCGGCAGUUGUAUCUCUGAUUUAGCCCCUAGCCUGGGAACUUCCAUAUGCCACAAGUGAGGCCCU
RNAcentral lists this long non-coding RNA (5394 nucleotides) under Sus scrofa (pig). RNAcentral's name for it is "lncRNA (ENSSSCG00000055384.1)". Lineage: Eukaryota; Metazoa; Chordata; Mammalia; Artiodactyla; Suidae. The record is from RNAcentral.